This is a long non-coding RNA of Callithrix jacchus (white-tufted-ear marmoset), 2659 nucleotides long. Lineage: Eukaryota; Metazoa; Chordata; Mammalia; Primates; Cebidae. The record is from Ensembl.
AGGCCAGCCCCUCCACCCCACCAGACACUGUGCUGUGCACGGGCUCAGCAGCCCCCAGUCAGCAAGAGGACGAUGGGGAGCAGUCCAGCCAGUUUCCUCAAUUCGAGGCGUGAACACCUGCUGUGAGCUGACAAGGCCACUGAGAAAGCCCCAGCGCCUGGAGCUGGUCUGCUGGUUCCCACAGCCAAACUAGUGAAACUUACCUCAAGUGGGAGGGUGCUUGAAGCUCACAGUGACUCACAAAGCCAGUUUCAAAAUCGCAUCUCUUUCUCUGCUUCAGCCCAAGAAAUGUUCCAAUUCUCUGAAUCCUACUGGAAAUAUGGAGACACCCAUAUGGGGGCCAAACAGCCAGCAUCCCAGGCUGUUCCAUUCCAACAGACGUUGUGGAGAUGGAGUAAAGAGGGGCUGGAGAAGGAGUGGGCUGAGAAGCAGGGUUCAGGUUAAAGGUAAGAGAAUAGUCUCAUAAAGAAGAUGGAAGAUAGAGCCUCUCAAGACAAUUCAUGGGACAUCAAAUAAUCCAGAAAACACACAUCCGCAGGAGCAAGGACCAAAGAGUGCAAUCCAUGUCUUAACUCAUCUCAGAAUUUCAAAAUAACAAGAAACUUGCUGUUGCCAAAUUCACUGUGGAGAAAUAGCUCUGACCAUGCAGAGAACUGACACUAGCAAUGUCAUCUCUCUGACACUAGCAAUGUCAUCUCUCUGACACUGGCAAUGUAGUGUGGGAAAUGGAAUCAAUCUCUGCUUCCCUGUGUUGGAACAAAAUGUUUGUACACGAGAAAUGAAGGAAAGAGUUUUCCCAAAUUGCAAGGGAAAUGCACCAUAGAAUAACCUCCUACAAUUUAAAGAUAAUUAAACACAAAUUUGUCUUGUACAUUUAUAUAUUUUAUUACAUUUUAUAAAUCAGAAUCUGAUUUAGUGUGAAAUUAUAUUCUGAGAUUUUUAUGUUUGACAUAUUAGUAAACCAAGUGUUUUGCAAUUAAAAAAAAAUGACUUCUAAGUGCCCUGCCAUCUAGUUUGUGAAUUUUGUCUAAUUUGUGAAUUACAAAUAUAGAAAAUGAAAAUUGAGCUUAUAAUGAUAAAGUCAUUGCUGUAAGCCAUGUUCUCUUUUUUUUGUUUGUUUGUUUGUUUGUUUGUUUUUGGACACCUAAAAAGAAGCGCAUGUGAUCAAAGUUUAGUGGUGUAAUCAGAUAAAUUUAUGAUAUGGUUUGUCUGUGUCCCCACCCAAAUCUCAACUUGAAUUGUGUCUCCCAGAAUUCCCACAUGUUGUGGAAGGGACCCGGGGGAAGUUAACUGAAUCAUAGGGGUGGGUCUUUCUUGUGCUAUUCUCAUGAUAGUGAAUAAGUCUCCCGAGAUCUGACGGGUUUAUCAGGGGGUUCUGCUUUGCUUCUUCCUCAUUUUUUCUUGCCGCUGCCAUCUAAGAAGUAGCUUUCACCUCCCACCAUGAUUCUAGGGCCUCCCCAGCCAUGUGGAACUGUAAGUCCAAUUAAACCUCUUUUUUCUUCCCAGUCUUGGGUAUGUCUUUAUCAGGAGCAUGAAAACGGACUAAUAUAACUUACAGCCAAGUUGUCAUUUUAAUGGUUUGAACAUCCAUAUAAUUGACCAUAAAUGAAAUUGUUUUGACAUGACAAAACUUCACUGUGGAGUAUUUUAUUCUACAUCAUGUUGCUGUUUUAUUCUAUUUCACAUUGCCGUUUAUCCCUCAUGUAGAAUUCUUAUCAGUGCUGACAGUUUCCCUAAUUCUAUGUGUCACUGAAUCUACCACACAGGUUGCAGGUGCCCACACAUUCACAUAAGAGACUAUAGAAGAUGAAGGACCUAAAACUGACUUCCUGUUCCUCUAAGAGUUCCUCUUCUUCUUCCUCCAUCCCUUCCCUAUCCGACCUCCCUACAUGAUUUUCAUGUGAAACUCUCUGGGUUUUUCUGACAUACACUCUAAGAAGUUGCCUCUGGCCAGGCACAGUGGCCCACAACUGUAAUCUUAACACUUUGGGAAGCUGAGUUUGAGAAUUUAAUGGGCAAAAAUAAAGCAGUCUGGUAACACCAAGUAUUUGAGGGCAUAUGAAUCAAUUGGAUCAAUUACAUACCUGCUGAUAGGAGUGUAAAUUAGUAUAAUUUUGUGGAAAUAAAUUGGUGUUAUCUCAUAAAGUAAAAUAUUUAUAAACUCUAAUGAUCCAGCAAUUUGACAUCUAGUUAUAUACCCACAUACAAGAGAAAGUUUAGCACAUAUGUACCUGGAGACACAUAAGACAAUGUGCAUAGCAGCAUUGUUUUUUAUUGGGGAAAAAAAUGGAAACAAAAUAAAUGACAAUGGGAAAGUAGAAAAACAAGAUCUGAUAUAUUCAUAAAAUGUAAACUCAAUAGCAUUGAAAAUGAAUGUGGGACAACAUAGGAGAAUAGUAGUUACCUAAUGUCAUAGGAAAAAAAUAAACACCAGAAGACAAUAUACAAUAUGAUAGGUUUUUUGUUUUUUGUUUUUUUUUUUGUUUUUUUGAGAUCUGUGUGCCUUUAUUAGCAGAGCCACUACUUGAGCGGGAUGAAGCGGGAGGAGUGAGGGGCCCCGAUGCCCGGCCAGCUGUGCUUCAUGGGCUUGUAGGUGAUGUAGAACUCGCCCAGGUGGUGGCCGAUCAUCUCUGGCUUGAUCUCCACCUGGUUGAAAGUC